RNAcentral lists this ribosomal RNA (253 nucleotides) under uncultured bacterium. RNAcentral describes it as "partial 16S ribosomal RNA". It matches the Rfam family "Bacterial small subunit ribosomal RNA", at positions 524 to 776 of the family's 1533-position model. The record is from RNAcentral.
UACAGAGGGUGCGAGCGUUAAUCGGAAUUACUGGGCGUAAAGCGCGCGUAGACGGUUUUGUAAGUCAGAUGUGAAAUCCCUGGGCUCAACCUGGGAACUGCAUUUGAGACUGCAUGGCUAGAGUAUCGAAGAGGGAAGUGGAAUUUCCGGUGUAGCGGUGAAAUGCGCAGAUAUCAGGAGGAACACCGGUGGCGAAGGCGGUUCUCUGGGCCUGUACUGACGCUGAGGAGCGAAAGCGUGGGGAGCGAACAGG